AAAGUGAAUAGUAACUCGAUUUUCCGGAGAAGCCGCGGUGAGAAGUUGGCUUCUGGCUCGUAUCGGACUCUGUUCAUAGUAGUCCAAUAGCUCGUUUCGACUGGUUCAGCUAUUCUGGAACUAAUGGCGCUGACGGAUUUUGAGUUUGACGCACGGAUUUCGAGAAAAUCCAAAAAUACAAAUUCUAUAUGUAUUUAGGUGUGUUUUCUUCUGUUGAUAGGAAGGUUGGAUUUUGUCGUGAAUCCGUGGUCGAUCGUGAUGAAACAAAAUCGCAGCUUUGUUGUCUCCGUCGUGCUGAUCGUACUGGUACAAUCCGUUCGCAAAUCUGACGGACGGAUCUGCGGAGAUCGCGCGUUGAUCGAGGAGAGGUCGGUAGUGGCAAAAUGGUAUUUUCGCGAAAGUCGCGACAUUUUAUGUACCGUUUUACGUGAGAUCGCACGUGGAGGGCUAUUCGUGUGUUUUACACGCACUGUGGACGACUUAGUUUAAAAUAUUGAGUUUUCGUGGGUCUUUCCGCAUUUUGAGUUUUAUAUAUAUAGUUGUCUCUUAGGGUUUGCUACUAGAAACCCUAACCCUAGCCCCCCAGCCACCUUCAUCCCUCUCCCCUGCCCCUGCCGCACACCCCUGGCCGCCACCGACUGAGCCCCAGCCGGCCAACCGCCGCCGCAGCCACCAUUUCUCUUUCUCUCCCUCUCUUUCUCUCUCCCUCUCUCCUCUCGGGUUGUGAGGAGACCCGAGACUGCCGCCACCUUCGGACCCUCCCUCGGUGUCGCCCCGUGCUCCGGCGAUCAUCCCCGCCGACCGCCGCCGUCGCCUGCGCCGCCGCUGCCACCCCGGGCCACAUCUGCCAGCC
Molecule: long non-coding RNA, 853 nt
Filed under: Ananas comosus (pineapple)
Lineage: Eukaryota; Viridiplantae; Streptophyta; Magnoliopsida; Poales; Bromeliaceae
Description: long non-coding RNA (ACOM_LNC041717)
Source: RNAcentral